Molecule: non-coding RNA, 461 nt
Organism: Penaeus vannamei (Pacific white shrimp)
Lineage: Eukaryota; Metazoa; Arthropoda; Malacostraca; Decapoda; Penaeidae
Source: RefSeq, a predicted model, not a curated record
UUAGACUUCAAAGGGGGAGGAGUACGCUAAACCAACUGAAACUUAUAUAUUAAAUAGUCAAAAAAUACAAGUUGUCAGUCCAAUAAUACAAUUAGAUAUAAAGUGACUACACUGUAGAGACUUAAAAAAUAGAAAAGUAACAUGUCAGUGAAUGUAAAAGGUUGUUAGUUGCAAGAUAAGGGCGCGAGUGUGAGUAUUGAUCGAGCGAGUGUGGUGGAGCCCGGUCCGUAUGCCAUGGUGGAGGCGUGAGUGAUUUUCAACGCCCGUACGCCCACACAACGCCCACGCCGCCAUGGAGGUGGUUGGGGAGUACGAAUACAGCACCAAGGACCUCAUAGGUCACGGUGCUUUCGCCGUGGUGUUCAAAGGGCGGCACAAACAGAAACCCGGCCUAACAGUUGCCAUAAAAAGCAUCACGAAAAAGAACAUCGCGAAGAGCCAGAAUCUCUUGGGGAAAGAAA